CAAGUAAAUUGUUCACUUUUGAAAAAACAUUUGAAAAUGUAAAUCAACUUAUGCUUCAUUUGGAAAGUUAAAAUGCAAGGUCCAAGUAACUAGUAUUUCAUUUUUAAAUUAGAUUUUUAGAAAGCAGCUAAGAAACAGCUAUGAGUUAUAUACCUACCCUUUACAUUUUUAGCAUUCUGAAAAGAGUGCUUAACUGGAACAUUACUAAAAUAGGAAUAUUGGAACAAGUAAGCAAUCUCACUUGAUUUGAGUAACUCCAUUUUGUAUCUAAAAUGCAGUAUAUUUGAGUUGAUGGAAUGUUCAAGGAAUAACAACUGUUUUAUAUCAGUUUUAUGAUUACUUUCAUGUCUACAUAGGUGUUCUAAUUCAAAUUUCAAGAAAAUAGGCACACCCUCCCAACAGUCUCAAAAUCACCAAAAUACUUAUUUUUGGUUAGGAUUUGUUUACUAAAGACCCCCAGGCUUAGAUUGACUGAUGUCUGAAAGAUAGGCAGUGAAAGUGAACCCCAUAAUGAAUGACCGUGCCUAGUUAUUUCAGGGUUCCUCUAUCAGUUCCUCAUAUUGCAGAUUUUUCUUAAUACCAAGAUAUGGCUGAACCAGCUGCCCAGCCAUAACUCUUUUCAAUGCCCCUUUGCUAACAUUCUUUGAACUGAGUGAUUUGUAUGUGUUUUAACGUCCAAUGUUUGGAUUUUACCUCUUUAUAGCUCCAUUUGUUCCUGGUGCUGCUUUUAAAGAUGUAGGGCCAUGUGAUCCAGUAUCAAGUUGAGUAGGUACGCAAUUGGCCUGAUUAUGUAUCUGUGCCUGUUUUGUCUUCUCCCAAGAAGAGCUGCUUUGGUAUAGAUGUUUACUUAGAUUCAGAUAAAGAACUGGGCAGCGGUUUUGGAAAGCUUUCUGAAGCCUAUAAGAAUCUAAAGGGAUAUGGAGGGGGAACAGUAACAAAGGCGGCCUUUAUGUCUUUCAAGAUGAAGCACAUAAAUGUAUGUUCUGUAAAGACUAUAGUGAUUGUUACACCAGGGCUUCCUGACCUCUGGGAGAGACUUUCAGAAAAGCAGAAAGGAGCACAAAAGUGAAAUGAAUUUGGUUGUCUUACUUUAUCUGGUUUCUCAUUUUCUUUCAAUUUAAAGCUGAACAUAACACCCUUUUCCAAUAUCUAUCCAGCAGACUCCUGGUUGGGAAGCCCUGUAUUAAACUUUGAGAAUGUACCCAGUUUCCUUUUUUUUUUUUUUUUUUGUACAGUGCUUUCUUUACACCUGCUAAAAAUUAACUUGUUUAAAGCAAAAUAAGACCUUGAAAGGUCAGUCAUAUUAAAGCUGGUUUGAUUAUUAAUAGUUAUCUUUUAGGAAGAAGCUUUUUCCCUAUGUAAGAUGUCAUACUGCAGAUUUAAAAUAUAGACUAUCAAUAAAAUGCAUGAAGUGAUCAUUUGUGCUUGAUCAUCUCUCCUUGGGUUUUUCUUUUAAAAGAGGAAUCUGAUAAAGAUUCUGUUGCUUCACACCAAUGUCAGAUAGACAUGGUUUUAAAAAUCAUGUAGAAUUAGAGUGCAACCUUGAUUUUGAUUCCCCUCACUGUUUGAGUGUGGGCAGGUACUGGUUUAUGAAAUAUAACUUCUGUCCUGUAUUGUGUAAUGGCUUAAUCUUUCAGUGGUAAAAUAAAAGAUUAAAGUCUAUUCGUAUAUAAGAAUCCUGGAAACAUUUGUGUAAGUGACAUUUUAAGUAGGUGCAUCUUUGAUGUUUCUUGUAUUACUAUUGACCUGAUGAUUCCCUUGCUUGACCUCUGUAAGUAUAAAGAUUUGUCUA
This 1792-nucleotide long non-coding RNA is filed under the name Bos taurus (domestic cattle). RNAcentral's name for it is "long non-coding RNA NONBTAT026640". The record is from RNAcentral. Lineage: Eukaryota; Metazoa; Chordata; Mammalia; Artiodactyla; Bovidae.